Molecule: ribosomal RNA, 504 nt
Filed under: uncultured bacterium
Lineage: Bacteria
Description: partial 16S ribosomal RNA
Rfam family: Bacterial small subunit ribosomal RNA
Source: RNAcentral
ACUCAAAUGAAUUGACGGGGACCCGCACAAGCGGUGGAGCAUGUGGAUCAAUUCGAUACUAACCGAAGAACCUUACCCAGGUUUGACAUCGAGGGAAAUCCAGCGAAAUCUGGCCCUCGGCCCAAAAGGCCGACCCGAAGACACUUGUUGCAUGGCUGUCGUCAGCUCGUGCCGUGAGGUGUACGGUUAAGUCCGCCAACGAGCGCAACCCUCGUCCUAUGUUGCCAGCAUGAAAGAUGGGAACUCAUAGGAGACCGCCGGCGUCAAGUCGGAGGAAGGUGGGGAUGAUGUCAAGUCAGCAUGGCAGUUACACCUGGGGCUUCACACAUGCUACAAUGGGCGAAACAAAGGGCAGCAAUAUCGUGAGAUGGAGCUAAUCCCAAAAAUACGCCCCCAGUUCAGAUUGCAGUCUGCAACUCGACUGCAUGAAGGCGGAAUCGCUAGUAAACGCAGGUCAGCUAUACUGCGUUGAAUACGUUCCCGGGUCUUGUACACACCGCCCGU